AGAGUUUGAUCCUGGCUCAGAGUGAACGCUGGCGGCGUGGAUCAGGCAUGCAAGUCGCGCGAUCCUUAUGUAAUGAGAGGGCUGACCGCAAGGAAGGCUUUUGAGUUACGCGAGGAUAGCGGCAAACGGGUGAGUAACACGUGAGUAAUCUACCCUUAAAACCGGAAUAGCCUUGCGAAAGCGGGGGUAAUGCCGGAUGUGCCCUUGAUAACUUAAGUUAUUUAGGGUAAAGGCGGGGACCGUAAGGCCUGUUGUUUAAGGAUGAGCUCGCGUCCUAUCAGCUUGUUGGUAGGGUAAUGGCCUACCAAGGCUUUUGACGGGUAGCUAGUCUGAGAGGAUGGUUAGCCACACUGGGACUGAGACACUGCCCAGACUCCUACGGGAGGCUGCAGUCGAGAAUAUUUAGCAAUGGACGAAAGUCUGACUAUGCGACGCCGCGUGAGGGAUGAAGGUUUUCGGAUUGUAAACCUCUUUCGAUCGGGAAGAAAAAACUAUCGCUAAUACUGAUAGUCUUGACGGUACCGGAAGAAGAAGCCACGGCUAACUCCGUGCCAGCAGCCGCGGUAAUACGGAGGUGGCAAGCGUUACUCGGAUUCAUUGGGUGUAAAGGGCAGGUAGGCGUCUUAGCAAGUUUCAGGUGAAAGCCCCCGACUUAAUCGGGGAAUUGCCUGAAAUACUGUUAGGAUUGAGUGUGAAAGAGGAGAACGGAAUUCUCGGUGUAAGAGUGAAAUCUGUAGAUAUCGAGAAGAACACCAGUGGUGAAGACGGUUCUCUGGUUCAUAACUGACGCUGAGCUGCGAAAGCUAGGGGAGCGAACAGGAUUAGAUACCCUGGUAGUCC
Molecule: ribosomal RNA, 840 nt
Filed under: uncultured bacterium
Lineage: Bacteria
Description: bacterial SSU rRNA
Rfam family: Bacterial small subunit ribosomal RNA
Source: RNAcentral